This 73-nucleotide transfer RNA is filed under the name Planococcus faecalis. Its description in RNAcentral is "tRNA-OTHER". It matches the Rfam family "tRNA". Rfam says of the family: Transfer RNA (tRNA) molecules are approximately 80 nucleotides in length. Their secondary structure includes four short double-helical elements and three loops (D, anti-codon, and T loops). Further hydrogen bonds mediate the characteristic L-shaped molecular structure. tRNAs have two regions of fundamental functional importance: the anti-codon, which is responsible for specific mRNA codon recognition, and the 3' end, to which the tRNAs corresponding amino acid is attached (by aminoacyl-tRNA synthetases). tRNAs cope with the degeneracy of the genetic code in two manners: having more than one tRNA (with a specific anti-codon) for a particular amino acid; and 'wobble' base-pairing, i.e. permitting non-standard base-pairing at the 3rd anti-codon position. The record is from RNAcentral. Lineage: Bacteria; Bacillati; Bacillota; Bacilli; Caryophanales; Caryophanaceae.
UGCCCCUUGGUCAAGCGGUUAAGACACCGCCUUUCACGGCGGUAAACGGGUUCGAAUCCCGUAGGGGUCACCA